UACGGAGGGGGCGAGCGUUAUUCGGAAUUAUUGGGCGUAAAGGGCGCGUAGGCGGCGCGAUAAGUCAAAGGUGAAAUCCCUCGGCUCAACUGAGGAACUGCCUUUGAGACUGUCGAGCUCGAGGCCGGGAGGGGGUAGCGGAAUUCCCCAGUGUAGCGGUGAAAUGCGUAGAUAUUGGGAGGAACACCAGUGGCGAAGGCGGCUACCUGGACCGGUUCUGACGCUGAUGCGCGAAAGCGUGGGUAGCAAACAGG
RNAcentral lists this ribosomal RNA (254 nucleotides) under uncultured bacterium. RNAcentral describes it as "partial 16S ribosomal RNA". It matches the Rfam family "Bacterial small subunit ribosomal RNA", at positions 524 to 776 of the family's 1533-position model. The record is from RNAcentral.